Molecule: ribosomal RNA, 2930 nt
Filed under: Klebsiella aerogenes
Lineage: Bacteria; Pseudomonadati; Pseudomonadota; Gammaproteobacteria; Enterobacterales; Enterobacteriaceae
Description: bacterial LSU rRNA
Rfam family: Bacterial large subunit ribosomal RNA
Source: RNAcentral
GGGUUGUGAGGUUAAGCGACUAAGCGUACACGGUGGAUGCCCUGGCAGUCAGAGGCGAUGAAGGACGUGCUAAUCUGCGAAAAGCGUCGGUAAGGUGAUAUGAACCGUUACAGCCGGCGAUGUCCGAAUGGGGAAACCCAGUGCAAUUCGUUGCACUAUCGUUAACUGAAUACAUAGGUUAACGAGGCGAACCGGGGGAACUGAAACAUCUAAGUACCCCGAGGAAAAGAAAUCAACCGAGAUUCCCCCAGUAGCGGCGAGCGAACGGGGAGCAGCCCAGAGUCUGAAUCAGCUUGUGUGUUAGUGGAACGGUCUGGAAAGUCCGACGGUACAGGGUGAUAGUCCCGUACACCAAAAUGCACAGGUUGUGAACUCGAAGAGUAGGGCGGGACACGUGGUAUCCUGUCUGAAUAUGGGGGGACCAUCCUCCAAGGCUAAAUACUCCUGACUGACCGAUAGUGAACCAGUACCGUGAGGGAAAGGCGAAAAGAACCCCGGCGAGGGGAGUGAAAAAGAACCUGAAACCGUGUACGUACAAGCAGUGGGAGCACCUUCGGGUGUGACUGCGUACCUUUUGUAUAAUGGGUCAGCGACUUAUAUUCUGUAGCAAGGUUAACCGUAUAGGGGAGCCGCAGGGAAACCGAGUCUUAACUGGGCGUUAAGUUGCAGGGUAUAGACCCGAAACCCGGUGAUCUAGCCAUGGGCAGGUUGAAGGUUGGGUAACACUAACUGGAGGACCGAACCGACUAAUGUUGAAAAAUUAGCGGAUGACUUGUGGCUGGGGGUGAAAGGCCAAUCAAACCGGGAGAUAGCUGGUUCUCCCCGAAAGCUAUUUAGGUAGCGCCUCGUGAAUUCAUCUUCGGGGGUAGAGCACUGUUUCGGCUAGGGGGUCAUCCCGACUUACCAACCCGAUGCAAACUACGAAUACCGAAGAAUGUUAUCACGGGAGACACACGGCGGGUGCUAACGUCCGUCGUGAAGAGGGAAACAACCCAGACCGCCAGCUAAGGUCCCAAAGUCACAGUUAAGUGGGAAACGAUGUGGGAAGGCACAGACAGCCAGGAUGUUGGCUUAGAAGCAGCCAUCAUUUAAAGAAAGCGUAAUAGCUCACUGGUCGAGUCGGCCUGCGCGGAAGAUGUAACGGGGCUAAACUGUGCACCGAAGCUGCGGCAGCGACACUAUGUGUUGUUGGGUAGGGGAGCGUUCUGUAAGCCUGCGAAGGUGGCCUGUGAGGGUUGCUGGAGGUAUCAGAAGUGCGAAUGCUGACAUAAGUAACGAUAAUGCGGGUGAAAAGCCCGCACGCCGGAAGACCAAGGGUUCCUGUCCAACGUUAAUCGGGGCAGGGUGAGUCGACCCCUAAGGCGAGGCCGAAAGGCGUAGUCGAUGGGAAACAGGUUAAUAUUCCUGUACUUGGUGUUACUGCGAAGGGGGGACGGAGAAGGCUAUGUUAGCCGGGCGACGGUUGUCCCGGUUUAAGCAUGUAGGCGGAGGUUCCAGGUAAAUCCGGUACCUUUUAACGCUGAGGUGUGAUGACGAGGCACUACGGUGCUGAAGUAACAAAUGCCCUGCUUCCAGGAAAAGCCUCUAAGCAUCAGGUAACAUUAAAUCGUACCCCAAACCGACACAGGUGGUCAGGUAGAGAAUACCAAGGCGCUUGAGAGAACUCGGGUGAAGGAACUAGGCAAAAUGGUGCCGUAACUUCGGGAGAAGGCACGCUGAUAUGUAGGUGAAGCCCCUGCGGGUGGAGCUGAAAUCAGUCGAAGAUACCAGCUGGCUGCAACUGUUUAUUAAAAACACAGCACUGUGCAAACACGAAAGUGGACGUAUACGGUGUGACGCCUGCCCGGUGCCGGAAGGUUAAUUGAUGGGGUUAUCCGUAAGGAGAAGCUCUUGAUCGAAGCCCCGGUAAACGGCGGCCGUAACUAUAACGGUCCUAAGGUAGCGAAAUUCCUUGUCGGGUAAGUUCCGACCUGCACGAAUGGCGUAAUGAUGGCCAGGCUGUCUCCACCCGAGACUCAGUGAAAUUGAACUCGCUGUGAAGAUGCAGUGUACCCGCGGCAAGACGGAAAGACCCCGUGAACCUUUACUAUAGCUUGACACUGAACAUUGAGCCUUGAUGUGUAGGAUAGGUGGGAGGCUUUGAAGCGUGGACGCCAGUCUGCGUGGAGCCAACCUUGAAAUACCACCCUUUAAUGUUUGAUGUUCUAACGUUGGCCCCUGACCGGGGUUGCGGACAGUGUCUGGUGGGUAGUUUGACUGGGGCGGUCUCCUCCCAAAGAGUAACGGAGGAGCACGAAGGUUAGCUAAUCCUGGUCGGACAUCAGGAGGUUAGUGCAAUGGCAUAAGCUAGCUUGACUGCGAGCGUGACGGCGCGAGCAGGUGCGAAAGCAGGUCAUAGUGAUCCGGUGGUUCUGAAUGGAAGGGCCAUCGCUCAACGGAUAAAAGGUACUCCGGGGAUAACAGGCUGAUACCGCCCAAGAGUUCAUAUCGACGGCGGUGUUUGGCACCUCGAUGUCGGCUCAUCACAUCCUGGGGCUGAAGUAGGUCCCAAGGGUAUGGCUGUUCGCCAUUUAAAGUGGUACGCGAGCUGGGUUUAGAACGUCGUGAGACAGUUCGGUCCCUAUCUGCCGUGGGCGCUGGAGAAUUGAGGGGGGCUGCUCCUAGUACGAGAGGACCGGAGUGGACGCAUCACUGGUGUUCGGGUUGUCAUGCCAAUGGCAUUGCCCGGUAGCUAAAUGCGGAAGAGAUAAGUGCUGAAAGCAUCUAAGCACGAAACUUGCCCCGAGAUGAGUUCUCCCUGAGACUUUAAGUCUCCUGAAGGAACGUUAAAGACGAUGACGUUGAUAGGUCGGGUGUGUAAGCGUAGCGAUACGUUGAGCUAACCGAUACUAAUGAACCGUGAGGCUUAACCUUACAACGCCGAAGCUGUU